AGGGAGUUUGAUCCUGGCUCAGGAUGAACGCUGGCGGCGUGCUUAACACAUGCAAGUCGAACGGAACAUUUCGCCCGAUGAUUGAAGUAGCUUGCUAUUGAAUGAUUCAACUGAAAUGUUUAGUGGCGGACGGGUGAGUAACGCGUGGGUAACCUACCUUACACAGGGGGAUAACAGUUAGAAAUGACUGCUAAUACCGCAUAAGCGCACAGUAUCGCAUGAUACAGUGUGAAAAACUCCGGUGGUGUAAGAUGGACCCGCGUCUGAUUAGCUAGUUGGUGAGGUAACGGCCCACCAAGGCGACGAUCAGUAGCCGGCCUGAGAGGGUGAACGGCCACAUUGGAACUGAGACACGGUCCAAACUCCUACGGGAGGCAGCAGUGGGGAAUAUUGUACAAUGGGGGAAACCCUGAUGCAGCGACGCCGCGUGAGUGAUGAAGUAUUUCGGUAUGUAAAGCUCUAUCAGCAGGGAAGAUCAUGACGGUACCUGACUAAGAAGCUCCGGCUAAAUACGUGCCAGCAGCCGCGGUAAUACGUAUGGAGCAAGCGUUAUCCGGAUUUACUGGGUGUAAAGGGUGCGUAGGUGGUAUGGCAAGUCAGAAGUGAAAACCCGGGGCUCAACCCCGUGGAUUGCUUUUGAAACUGUCAAACUAGAGUAUAGGAGAGGCAAGCGGAAUUCCUAGUGUAGCGGUGAAAUGCGUAGAUAUUAGGAGGAACACCAGUGGCGAAGGCGGCUUGCUGGACUAAAACUGACACUGAGGCACGAAAGCGUGGGGAGCAAACAGGAUUAGAUACCCUGGUAGUCCCCU
This 809-nucleotide ribosomal RNA is filed under the name uncultured Bacillota bacterium. RNAcentral describes it as "bacterial SSU rRNA". It matches the Rfam family "Bacterial small subunit ribosomal RNA", at positions 1 to 799 of the family's 1533-position model. The record is from RNAcentral. Lineage: Bacteria; Bacillati; Bacillota.